AGUGAACGCUGGCGGUAGGCCUAACACAUGCAAGUCGAACGGCAGCACAGUAAGAGCUUGCUCUUACGGGUGGCGAGUGGCGGACGGGUGAGGAAUACAUCGGAAUCUACUUUUUCGUGGGGGAUAACGUAGGGAAACUUACGCUAAUACCGCAUACGACCUACGGGUGAAAGCAGGGGAUCUUCUGACCUUGCGCGAUUGAAUGAGCCGAUGUCGGAUUAGCUAGUUGGCGGGGUAAGGGCCCACCAAGGCGACGAUCCGUAGCUGGUCUGAGAGGAUGAUCAGCCACACUGGAACGGAGACACGGUCAAGACUCCUACGGGAGGCAGCAGUGGGGAAUAUUGGACAAUGGGCGCAAGCCUGAUCCAGCCAUACCGCGUGGGUGAAGAAGGCCUUCGGGUUGUAAAGCCCUUUUGUUGGGAAAGAAAAGCAGCAGGUUAAUACCCCGCUGUUCUGACGGUACCCAAAGAAUAAGCACCGGCUAACUUCGUG
RNAcentral lists this ribosomal RNA (492 nucleotides) under uncultured bacterium. RNAcentral describes it as "partial 16S ribosomal RNA". It matches the Rfam family "Bacterial small subunit ribosomal RNA", at positions 29 to 507 of the family's 1533-position model. The record is from RNAcentral.